RNAcentral lists this long non-coding RNA (365 nucleotides) under Pan troglodytes (chimpanzee). Its description in RNAcentral is "long non-coding RNA NONPTRT004378". The record is from RNAcentral. Lineage: Eukaryota; Metazoa; Chordata; Mammalia; Primates; Hominidae.
GGUGUGGACGGUGGACAGGCGUUGUGGAUGGUGGACACUGCAGUGCGGAUGGUGGACAGGUGGUGUGGAUGGUGGACAGGCGGUGUGGACGGUGGACAGGCAGUGUGGAUGGUGGACAGGCGGUGUGGACGGUGGACACUGCAGUGUGGAUGAUGGACAGGUGGUGUGGACGGUGGACAGGCGGUGUGGACGGUGGACAGGUGGUGUGGACGGUGGACAGGUGGUGUGGACGGUGGACACUGCAGUGCAGAUGGUGGACAGGUGGUGUGGAUGGUGCACAGGCAGUGUGCAUGGUGGACACUGCAGUGCGGAUGGUGGACAGGUGGUGUGGAUGGUGAACAUGCGGGGUGGAUGGUGGACACUGC